CUAAAACUGCAGGACAAUUGAGAAAACUGCUAGUUAAUCGGUUCGCUAAGUAACUGAUAAAUGGAAGCAAAGGUUCAUGGAAUAGCAAAUUGUGAGUUGUAAAACAAAACAACAGCCUGCUGGAUGAAAUAUAGAAAUACAAUAUGAGCAUAGGAAAUUGGCUAGAACAACAAGAAGAGUCUAAAGUUGAAAGUUGUGGCUACAUUGUUUCCCUUUGUCAAUCACAGAAGCUCAUAUCAUCCCAUGGCAACCAGCGGAAUCCAGCAGUACUGCUUUGAUUUGAUCAGGAUGAAAGUCUUGACCUUCUUUGCAUUGCUCAGCUCUAAAGAUAUCUAAGGCAAAUCCAUUGAAGCAGCUGAUAACAGCUUGUUGGAUGUCCAGUCCGAGGUUGUCGAGUGCCCUCAUUGUUGAGAGUAAGAGGCCUGGUCUGCGGCUGCAAAACAUAUGGAUAUUCACAGCUCUUCCUUCUCUUGCCUUUACUUCAACCCUUGCAGGUUGUCCAGUCGGGCUAGACAGUGGGCUUGCAAAUGAACUCGGAUAGAGUUCUUCCUUGAUGCGGCCUGGCAGAGCUGGUCCAGUUGGUGUUAGAGGAUAGAAGCUUGUUGUUUGGGUCAGUGAAGAGCUAGGUGGCGUGGACUCCAGUUCAUUAUGCAGGUCAUUGAUUUUCUGUAAAAGCUCCUUUAAGUACUCAAUUGCAUCCCCUAAGAUUGAAGCCCUGUCCAUCUUGCUAAUCCUUGGUACAACAGACCUCAACAUGUAAAGCCUAUCGUUUAGCUUCUUCCUACGUCGUCGUUCAGCCAUCAAAUUCUUAGCCGGAAGUCCCUUUUUCUUUCCUUUCUGAUUCCCACAGGUGACAGUGCUAGUUGCAUUUGAGCUAUUUCCACCAUUCUUAACAGUAUCAUCCACCUUAUUAGUAACAUUUUCAGUAAGGUCAUCUGAAUCAUAACUCAAUGUGCACCCAUCAAAGCUCACAUCAUCAAGUUCUUCCCCACUACCCCACUUUCUCUUCCUUUCAUUCUCUCCAUUCAUGGAAUUCUGGCCAAUUUCACCUCCGAAAUCCCCCAAACUGCCACCAGUAGUAUUAGCUAAGUUCUUCCUAAGAGCAGCCCUUUUCUGAAAAAGGGUUGGUUGUGCUCCAUUUGAAGCAAAAUUAUCAAGUGGCUUUAACAACUUGGACCUAUUGAGAAACAGAGAGUUCUCAUUUGCAGAACCAUCAACAAACCCUAGUGGACUAAACCCAGUAGUAGUAGUAUUUUGGGGCAAAUGGGAUGAUGGGUAUUGAGUAAAUGAAUUCAAAUUGGGGUUACCCAUUUGGUUCUGUGAGCUCAAAUCAUGAAACCCACCACCAGCAAGAAGAAAUCCCCCUUUAUUCAAACCACCCAUACCUUGAGCUUCAAGAAAACCAUUUUCACAACCCAAAUUAAAACUAUAAUCCAAAGGGUUGUUGUUAAUAGCCUUUUGGGCUAACAAGUAAUGUACCUGAGAUGGGUCUAGAUUGUUGAAAACAGAGGAGUUUGGUGAGCAAGAAGAGGAGGAAU
RNAcentral lists this unclassified non-coding RNA (1538 nucleotides) under Hevea brasiliensis (rubber tree). Lineage: Eukaryota; Viridiplantae; Streptophyta; Magnoliopsida; Malpighiales; Euphorbiaceae. The record is from RNAcentral.